Molecule: non-coding RNA, 75 nt
Organism: Myotis lucifugus (little brown bat)
Lineage: Eukaryota; Metazoa; Chordata; Mammalia; Chiroptera; Vespertilionidae
Source: Rfam
GGCAGUUCUUGGGUGAUGCACCCCGGAAUCAGGCUCCCUCCUCUCUUGUUCCGGGUGUGUCACCCGAGAACCGCA